Molecule: ribosomal RNA, 472 nt
Filed under: Mustelus stevensi (western spotted gummy shark)
Lineage: Eukaryota; Metazoa; Chordata; Chondrichthyes; Carcharhiniformes; Triakidae
Description: partial small subunit ribosomal RNA
Rfam family: Bacterial small subunit ribosomal RNA
Source: RNAcentral
UACUAUGCCCAACCAUAAACUUAGACAAUACUUCACCAUAUUGUUCGCCAGAGUACUACAAGCGCUAGCUUAAAACCCAAAGGACUUGGCGGUAUCCCACACCCACCUAGAGGAGCCUGUUCUAUAACCGAUAAUCCCCGUUCAACCUCACCACUUCUUGCCAUUACCGUCUAUAUACCGCCGUCGUCAGCUCACCCUGUGAAGGGUCAAAAGUAAGCAAAAAGAAUUAAAACUCCAAAACGUCAGGUCGAGGUGUAGCAAAUGAAGUGGGAAGAAAUGGGCUACAUUUUUUACCAAAAACAUACGAAUGGUAAAUUGAAAAUAUACCUAAAGGUGGAUUUAGCAGUAAGAGAAGAUCAGAGUACUUCCCUGAAAUUGGCUCUGGGAUGCGCACACACCGCCCGUCACUCUCCUCAAAAACCUACUUAUUUUUUAUAAAUACAUUUCUUUAACAAGAGGAGGCAAGUCGUAA